GAUGAACGCUGGCGGCGUGCCUAAUACAUGCAAGUCGAGCGAACGGACGAGAAGCUUGCUUCUCUGAUGUUAGCGGCGGACGGGUGAGUAACACGUGGAUAACCUACCUAUAAGACUGGGAUAACUUCGGGAAACCGGAGCUAAUACCGGAUAAUAUUUUGAACCGCAUGGUUCAAAAGUGAAAGACGGUCUUGCUGUCACUUAUAGAUGGAUCCGCGCUGCAUUAGCUAGUUGGUAAGGUAACGGCUUACCAAGGCAACGAUGCAUAGCCGACCUGAGAGGGUGAUCGGCCACACUGGAACUGAGACACGGUCCAGACUCCUACGGGAGGCAGUAGUAGGGAAUCUUCCGCAAUGGGCGAAAGCCUGACGGAGCAACGCCGCGUGAGUGAUGAAGGUCUUCGGAUCGUAAAACUCUGUUAUUAGGGAAGAACAUAUGUGUAAGUAACUGUGCACAUCUUGACGGUACCUAAUCAGAAAGCCACGGCUAACUACGUGCCAGCAGCCGCGGUAAUACGUAGGUGGGCAGCGUUAUCCGGAAUUUAUGGGCGUAAAGCGCGCGUAGGCGGUUUUUUAAGUCUGAUGUGAAAGCCCACGGCUCACCGUGGAGGGUCAUUGGAAACUGGAAAACUUGAGUGCAGAAGAGGAAAGUGGAAUUCCAUGUGUAGCGGUGAAAUGCGCAGAGAUAUGGAGGAACACCAGUGGCGAGGGCGACUUUCUGGUCUGUAACUGACGCUGAUGUGCGAAAGCGUGGGGAUCAAACAGGAUUAGAUACCCUGGUAGUCCACGCCGUAAACGAUGAGUGCUAAGUGUUAGGGGGUUUCCGCCCCUUAGUGCUGCAGCUAACGCAUUAAGCACUCCGCCUGGGGAGUACGACCGCAAGGUUGAAACUCAAAGGAAUUGACGGGGACCCGCACAAGCGGUGGAGCAUGUGGUUUAAUUCGAAGCAACGCGAAGAACCUUACCAAAUCUUGACAUCCUUUGACAACUCUAGAGAUAGAGCUUUCCCCUUCGGGGGACAAAGUGACAGGUGGUGCAUGGUUGUCGUCAGCUCGUGUCGUGAGAUGUUGGGUUAAGUCCCGCAACGAGCGCAACCCUUAAGCUUAGUUGCCAUCAUUAAGUUGGGCACUCUAAGUUGACUGCCGGUGACAAACCGGAGGAAGGUGGGGAUGACGUCAAAUCAUCAUGCCCCUUAUGAUUUGGGCUACACACGUGCUACAAUGGACAAUACAAAGGGCAGCGAAACCGCGAGGUCAAGCAAAUCCCAUAAAGUUGUUCUCAGUUCGGAUUGUAGUCUGCAACUCGACUAUAUGAAGCUGGAAUCGCUAGUAAUCGUAGAUCAGCAUGCUACGGUGAAUACGUUCCCGGGUCU
RNAcentral lists this ribosomal RNA (1371 nucleotides) under uncultured bacterium. RNAcentral's name for it is "bacterial SSU rRNA". It matches the Rfam family "Bacterial small subunit ribosomal RNA", at positions 28 to 1381 of the family's 1533-position model. The record is from RNAcentral.